RNAcentral lists this ribosomal RNA (559 nucleotides) under uncultured bacterium. RNAcentral describes it as "bacterial SSU rRNA". It matches the Rfam family "Bacterial small subunit ribosomal RNA", at positions 120 to 674 of the family's 1533-position model. The record is from RNAcentral.
GGGAAACUGCCUGAUGGAGGGGGAUAACUACUGGAAACGGUAGCUAAUACCGCAUAAUGUCGCAAGACCAAAGAGGGGGACCUUCGGGCCUCUUGCCAUCAGAUGUGCCCAGAUGGGAUUAGCUAGUAGGUGGGGUAAUGGCUCACCUAGGCGACGAUCCCUAGCUGGUCUGAGAGGAUGACCAGCCACACUGGAACUGAGACACGGUCCAGACUCCUACGGGAGGCAGCAGUGGGGAAUAUUGCACAAUGGGCGCAAGCCUGAUGCAGCCAUGCCGCGUGUAUGAAGAAGGCCUUCGGGUUGUAAAGUACUUUCAGCGGGGAGGAAGGCGUUGUGGUUAAUAACCACAGCGAUUGACGUUACCCGCAGAAGAAGCACCGGCUAACUCCGUGCCAGCAGCCGCGGUAAUACGGAGGGUGCAAGCGUUAAUCGGAAUUACUGGGCGUAAAGCGCACGCAGGCGGUCUGUCAAGUCGGAUGUGAAAUCCCCGGGCUCAACCUGGGAACUGCAUUCGAAACUGACAGGCUAGAGUCUUGUAGAGGGGGGUAGAAUUCCAGGU